GACGAACGCUGGCGGCGUGCUUAACACAUGCAAGUCGAACGGUGAAGCGCCUUCCUUUUUGGUGGGUGUGGAUGAGUGGCGAACGGGUGAGUAACACGUGAGUAACCUGCCCCCUUCUUCUGGAUAACCGCAUGAAAGUGUGGCUAAUACGGGAUAUUCUGGGUCUGUCGCAUGAUGGGUCUGGGAAAGAUAUUGUUUCGGUGGGGGAUGGGCUCGCGGCGUAUCAGCUUGUUGGUGGGGUGAUGGCCUACCAAGGCGGUGACGGGUAGCCGGCCUGAGAGGGUGGACGGGCACACUGGGACGGAGACGCGGCCCAGACUCCGACGGGAGGCAGCAGGGAGGAAUAGUGCACAAUGGGCGCAAGGCUGAUGCAGCGACGCCGCGUGAGGGAUGGAGGCCUGCGGGUUGUGAACCUCUUUCGCCAGUGAAGCAGGCCUGCCUCGUUUGUGGGUGGGUUGACGGUAGCUGGAGAAGAAGCGCCGGCUAACUACGUG
RNAcentral lists this ribosomal RNA (494 nucleotides) under uncultured bacterium. RNAcentral's name for it is "partial 16S ribosomal RNA". It matches the Rfam family "Bacterial small subunit ribosomal RNA", at positions 28 to 507 of the family's 1533-position model. The record is from RNAcentral.